RNAcentral lists this long non-coding RNA (1466 nucleotides) under Felis catus (domestic cat). RNAcentral's name for it is "lncRNA (ENSFCAG00000049540.1)". The record is from RNAcentral. Lineage: Eukaryota; Metazoa; Chordata; Mammalia; Carnivora; Felidae.
AUGCCGGCCAACCGUAGGUCGUCCUGCUCACGCGACCCGAGAAGUACUUUGGAUGAAGCUAAAGGAAGAAGAAAGACCUUGGAGACUAAGGCCAUGUUAGGGACCGUGGAAGAAUUGACUGGGACCCAGAGGAAAGCUGGACGUGGCUUUGCCUCCAGUGUAGCGGCUAAGCUGCUGAGAAAGGAAGAAUUGAGGUACUGGCGUGUUCAUCAACACGUCUCAACAAGGGUGGACCCCCAGCCCUCUCCGAAGCCUCCGGCACCAGCCCCUGUGCCCGGCGCUUUGCCGUCUGAAGCCCUCCACGCGCCGGGCCAACCUUUGACCUGGGCUUGUGAGCCUGUCAUAGGAAGAAUGGCUCCACGGCAGCCGAUUCCACCCCUCCCGGCAGAUCCGGGAAGGAGAGGCCCUCACGCUAGGACUCAGGACUGCUCACUCACACACACACACGCAGCAGCGAUGCGUGCAUAAGAAGGCCGGACGCCUACAUGGGGACUCAGGCUGGACGGCGAGCGUGUCCCCAGCAGCCACGCAUGACUGCGGUGGUCCUGCACGGGUCAGGGUCCCCUGCACGGAUUGCGGCCACGCGGCUGCGGGCGGACGCCCACGAAGCCGGCCCUGCUGCUGCGGCCCUUAGAGCUGGGGCUCCGAUGGCCGGAGAGGUGGUUUAAGGCGGUUUUGGCAAAAGCCCCCAGACCAGGGUCAUCUGACUGUCGCUUGGCCAUCAAAGGAGCGCUAUGCAGUGGGAGUGGGUAUCCCUUACUUCCAGGGAUGCCCCAGAAGGCAGAGAAACACGCUGGACCCUCCCCCCCCCCCCCCCCCCCGCUUCCUCCCCCUCCCUUCUUUUCUUCCAGCGCAUCCAUUAGCAGGGUAGAGGUGGGGCGGGGCUUCUUGGGGGCCUGGGCCAUGUCGUCCCCACAGUGAGCGCAGGCAGGGAGGGCAGAUAGACGGGAGAGCAAAGGGUGGUUGACUGUUCCACCUGGAACAGUCUGGGUUAUCUGGAAUAAUCUAACAUCAAAUACACCGUCCUCUUGUCCCCGUAAACUAUUGAAGUUUUCUGGACGUUUAAAUACGGAUAUGCACCGAUAUCCGAUUUGUCUUCCUGCUACGCAGCGCUGCACAUUCCACUCGCUCGGUGGGACCCGACCCCAGCGUCUGACGACAGAGUCUUUAUCUGAAGAAAAUCCAGCAUUCUUCCCAGAAUCAAAAAAAAAAAAAAAAAAUCCAUAGAAAACUGUAAUCAAGGGGCGCCUGGGUGGCUCAGUCGGUUAAGCAUCCGACUUCAGCUCAGGUCACGAUCUCACGGUCCGUGAGUUCGAGCCCCGCAUCGGGCUCUGGGCUGAUGGCUCAGAGCCUGGAGCCUGCUUCCGAUUCUGUGUCUCCCUCUCUCUCUGCCCCUCCCCGGUUCAUGCUCUGUCUCUCUCUGUCUCAAAAAUAAAUAAAAACGUUAAAAAAAAUUAAAAAGAAAA